CCUACGGGAGGCAGCAGUGGGGAAUAUUGGACAAUGGGGGGAACCCUGAUCCAGCGACGCCGCGUGAGUGAAGAAGUAUUUCGGUAUGUAAAGCUCUAUCAGCAGGGAAGAAAAUGACGGUAUCUGACCAAGAAGCGCCGGCUAACUACGUGCCAGCAGCCGCGGUAAUACGCAGGGGGCAAGCGUUAUCCGGAUGUACUGGGUGUAAAGGGAGCGUAGACGGUGCAGCAAGUCUGAUGUGAAAGGUCGGGGCCCAACCGCGGGACUGCAUUGGAAACUGUUGAACUGGAGUACAGGAGAGGUGAGCGGAAUUCCUGGUGUAGCGGUGAAAUGCGUAGAUAUUAGGAGGAACACCGGUGGCGAAGGCGGCUUACUGGACUGUAACUGACGUUGAGGCUCGAAAGCGUGGGGAGCAAACAGGAUUAGAUACCCGAGUAGUC
Molecule: ribosomal RNA, 440 nt
Filed under: uncultured bacterium
Lineage: Bacteria
Description: partial 16S ribosomal RNA
Rfam family: Bacterial small subunit ribosomal RNA
Source: RNAcentral